AUUGAACGCUGGCGGCAUGCUUUACACAUGCAAGUCGAACGGCAGCGCGGGGCAACCUGGCGGCGAGUGGCGAACGGGUGAGUAAUAUAUCGGAACGUACACAGAAGUGGGGGAUAACGUAGCGAAAGUUACGCUAAUACCGCAUACGAUCUCAGGAUGAAAGUGGGGGACCUUCGGGCCUCAUGCUUGUGGAUCGGCCGAUAUCUGAUUAGCUAGUUGGUAGGGUAAAGGCCUACCAAGGCGACGAUCAGUAGCUGGUCUGAGAGGACGACCAGCCACACUGGGACUGAGACACGGCCCAGACUCCUACGGGAGGAAGCAGUGGGGAAUUUUGGACAAUGGGCGCAAGCCUGAUCCAGCAAUGCCGCGUGAGUGAAGAAGGCCUUCGGGUUGUAAAGCUCUUUUGUCAGGGAAGAAACGGCGAUUUCUAAUAAAGAUUGCUAAUGACGGUACCUGAAGAAUAAGCACCGGCUAACUACGUGCCAGCCGCCGCCGUAA
Molecule: ribosomal RNA, 498 nt
Filed under: uncultured bacterium
Lineage: Bacteria
Description: partial 16S ribosomal RNA
Rfam family: Bacterial small subunit ribosomal RNA
Source: RNAcentral